This 264-nucleotide unclassified non-coding RNA is filed under the name Hevea brasiliensis (rubber tree). Lineage: Eukaryota; Viridiplantae; Streptophyta; Magnoliopsida; Malpighiales; Euphorbiaceae. The record is from RNAcentral.
GAACAAGAGAAACAAGAAGGGGCUCUUUGAGUUCGGCAUCGUGUCUCCUUUCUUCAUUUCAAUAGGGACAGUGUCCAUCAUCAAUCUUGUCUCACUUGUGAUUGGGAUUAUAAGAGUAGAAACAAAGAUGGAGAGCUUGGAUAACAUGUUUGUGCAGCUAUUCCUAUCAGGGUUCGGUGUGGUGAACUGCUGGCCUGUCUAUGAGGCUAUGUUUUGGAGGAGAGAUGGAGGGAGGAUGCCAACAAGGGUUACAAAGCUCUCCAU